Molecule: ribosomal RNA, 747 nt
Filed under: uncultured archaeon
Lineage: Archaea
Description: bacterial SSU rRNA
Rfam family: Archaeal small subunit ribosomal RNA
Source: RNAcentral
UGAAGAUCUGGUUGAUUCUGCCAGAGGCCACUGCUAUCGGAGUUCGAUUAAGCCAUGCGAGUCGAGAGGUGCAAGACCUCGGCAUACUGCUCAGUAACACGUGGACAAUCUAACCUAUGGAGGGGGAUAACCCCGGGAAACUGGGGAUAAUACCCCAUAGACUAUGGAUGCUGGAAUGCUCUGUAGUUGAAAGGUCCGCCGCCAUAGGAUGGGUCUGCGGCCGAUUAGGUUGUUGUUGGGGUAACGGCCCAACAAGCCUGUAAUCGGUACGGGUUGUGGGAGCAAGAGCCCGGAGAUGGAUUCUGAGACACGAAUCCAGGCCCUACGGGGCGCAGCAGGCGCGAAAACUUUACAAUGCGGGAAACCGUGAUAAGGGAACUCCGAGUGCCCGUAAAAUCGGGCUGUCCAUCGGUUUAAAUAACCGGUGAAGAAAGGGCCGGGCAAGACCGGUGCCAGCCGCCGCGGUAAUACCGGCGGCUCGAGUGGUGGCCACUAUUACUGGGCUUAAAGCGUUCGUAGCUGGUCUGUUAAGUCUCUGGGGAAAUCUGCCGGCUUAACCGGCAGGCGUUCCAGGGAUACUGGCAGACUAGGGACCGGGAGAGGUGAGGGGUACUCCAGGGGUAGGAGUGAAAUCCUGUAAUCCUUGGGGGACCACCUGUGGCGAAGGCGCCUCACCAGAACGGCUCCGACAGUGAGGGACGAAAGCUGGGGGAGCAAACCGGAUUAGAUACCCGGGUAGUCCCAGCU